CCGUAACUAUAACGGUCCUAAGGUAGCGAAAUUCCUUGUCGGGUAAGUUCCGACCCGCACGAAUGGCGUAACGAUGGCCACACUGUCUCCUCCUGAGACUCAGCGAAGUUGAAGUGGUUGUGAAGAUGCAAUCUACCCGCUGCUAGACGGAAAGACCCCGUGAACCUUUACUGUAGCUUUGCAUUGGACUUUGAAGUCACUUGUGUAGGAUAGGUGGGAGGCUUUGAAGCAGAGACGCCAGUCUCUGUGGAGCCGUCCUUGAAAUACCACCCUGGUGUCUUUGAGGUUCUAACCCAGACCCGUAAUCCGGGUCGGGGACCGUGCAUGGUAGGCAGUUUGACUGGGGCGGUCUCCUCCCAAAGAGUAACGGAGGAGUUCGAAGGUUACCUAGGUCCGGUCGGAAAUCGGGCUGAUAGUGCAAUGGCAAAAGGUAGCUUAACUGCGAGACCGACAAGUCGAGCAGGUGCGAAAGCAGGACAUAGUGAUCCGGUGGUUCUGUAUGGAAGGGCCAUCGCUCAACGGAUAAAAGGUACUCUGGGGAUAACAGGCUGAUACCGCCCAAGAGUUCAUAUCGACGGCGGUGUUUGGCACCUCGAUGUCGGCUCAUCUCAUCCUGGGGCUGAAGCAGGUCCCAAGGGUAUGGCUGUUCGCCAUUUAAAGAGGUACGCGAGCUGGGUUUAGAACGUCGUGAGACAGUUCGGUCCCUAUCUACCGUGGGCGUUGGAAAUUUGAGAGGAUCUGCUCCUAGUACGAGAGGACCAGAGUGGACGAACCUCUGGUGUUCCGGUUGUCACGCCAGUGGCAUUGCCGGGUAGCUAUGUUCGGAUGGGAUAACCGCUGAAAGCAUCUAAGCGGGAAGCCCACCUCAAGAUAAGAUUUCCCUAAAGAGCCGUUGUAGACUACGACGUUGAUAGGUUGGGUGUGGAAGCAUGGCGACAUGUGUAGCUAACCAAUACUAAUUGCUCGUUUGGCUUGACCAU
Molecule: ribosomal RNA, 980 nt
Filed under: human oral metagenome
Description: bacterial LSU rRNA
Rfam family: Bacterial large subunit ribosomal RNA
Source: RNAcentral